Molecule: long non-coding RNA, 1125 nt
Organism: Papaver somniferum (opium poppy)
Lineage: Eukaryota; Viridiplantae; Streptophyta; Magnoliopsida; Ranunculales; Papaveraceae
Exons: 2
Source: RefSeq, a predicted model, not a curated record
UUCUUUCUUCUUUCUUUUCCUAUGUUUUUCUUCUAUUCUGCUCGAUGUGGGAGUUGUGAGUCAGAGUUAAUCAAGGGAAACCAACUGGUAGUACUGAUAGAUGAUUAAGAAGAUGGUGUGGUCAUUAAUUGUGAAGAAGAACAACUACGGUUUGAAUCACAGAGAAUCAGAAUUAGGGUCUGUAGAUUUUAUUAUUGUUCUAAAGAGUUAGAAGAUGGAAUUUAGAGUUAUGGUUGAUUGAAGAACAAAGGGUUAUCGUUUAAUUGAAGUUUAGAAGUGGUUUUGAUGAAGAACUGAAAGGCUAGGGUUUCUGUGAGUUCAAUUGGAGUUCGAUUAGGUGAUGAUUAAGAGGAAAACGAAGGAUGGGUAUUGAAGAACAUGAUGUGAAGAAGGAGGUGAUGGUUUUAGAUUGACGAUUUGUUGUCAAGAAGAACAAUAAUUGGGAUUUGAAGAAUUAGGGUUUCUGGGUUGAGGAUAAUGGUGAAGUUGGUUGAGAUGGUUAGUUGAAUUAUGUGAUAAAGAGAAAUGGAUCUCAGUUGCUUGAACAAGUUAAAUCAAGGACAUGGCAGAGUAGUUGAUGUUGAAAUGGUGGAGGCGCAUAUAGUUUUUUAUGUGCAUCUGAAGAGUGGGUUGAGGUUAUGGUGGUAUUAAAUGGUGCUACAGUUUUAGAUGGUACUGGUGCGCACAAGUAGUUGCAGAUGGUUGAGCUAAGAGAUGGAGUAAAUCUGCGGCUGAGCUGAGAAGAAAGAACUAGUACAGGAUUCAAGAAUUAGUUAUGGCGUUGAAUGGACCUGAAAUGGAUUGUUGCAAUGGUGGUGCUGAUAUUGGUGGUUCGAUUGUCGCAGGAAUGAAGGUACUGGCGAAGUUAUGCUAGGAGUUAGAAUUGCAGGGGUAAUGGUUUGGCUAGUGCAAGGUUUUACAGAAUGGUGAUGGACAAUGGAAAUUGGGGUUGUAAACUUUGAUAUGGAAGCUAUGUAUGUUGAGCUGAACCUAUAGAUGUAAUGAAGUUGCAGUUCAUGGAGUCAUGGAAAUACAGUAUUUGAUUUGAAUCAAUGAAGAGAUGAUUAAACUAUGUAUCUUGGCAAGAGGAGUUAGAAAUGCAUCAUUUGAGUCUUGUUCUGUUUU